GAUGAACGCUGGCGGCGUGCCUAAUACAUGCAAGUCGAGCGAACAGACGAGGAGCUUGCUCCUCUGACGUUAGCGGCGGACGGGUGAGUAACACGUGGAUAACCUACCUAUAAGACUGGGAUAACUUCGGGAAACCGGAGCUAAUACCGGAUAAUAUAUUGAACCGCAUGGUUCAAUAGUGAAAGACGGUUUUGCUGUCACUUAUAGAUGGAUCCGCGCCGCAUUAGCUAGUUGGUAAGGUAACGGCUUACAAAGGCAACGAUGCGUAGCCGACCUGAGAGGGUGAUCGGCCACACUGGAACUGAGACACGGUCCAGACUCCUACGGGAGGCAGCAGUAGGGAAUCUGCCGCAAUGGGCGAAAGCCUGACGGAGCAACGCCGCGGGAGUGAGGAAGGUCUUCGGAUCGUAAAACUCUGUUAUUAGGGAAGAACAAAUGUGUAAGUAACUAUGCACGUCUUGACGGUACCUAAUCAGAAAGCCACGGCUAACUACGUG
This 497-nucleotide ribosomal RNA is filed under the name uncultured bacterium. RNAcentral describes it as "partial 16S ribosomal RNA". It matches the Rfam family "Bacterial small subunit ribosomal RNA", at positions 28 to 507 of the family's 1533-position model. The record is from RNAcentral.